AGUCGAGCGCCCCGCAAGGGGAGCGGCAGACGGGUGAGUAACGCGUGGGAAUCUACCUUUUGCUACGGAAUAACUCAGGGAAACUUGUGCUAAUACCGUAUGUGCCCUUCGGGGGAAAGAUUUAUCGGCAAAGGAUGAGCCCGCGUUGGAUUAGCUAGUUGGUGAGGUAAAGGCUCACCAAGGCGACGAUCCAUAGCUGGUCUGAGAGGAUGAUCAGCCACACUGGGACUGAGACACGGCCCAGACUCCUACGGGAGGCAGCAGUGGGGAAUAUUGGACAAUGGGCGCAAGCCUGAUCCAGCCAUGCCGCGUGAGUGAUGAAGGUCUUAGGAUUGUAAAGCUCUUUCACCGGUGAAGAUAAUGACGGUAACCGGAGAAGAAGCCCCGGCUAACUUCGUGCCAGCAGCCGCGGUAAUACGAAGGGGGCUAGCGUUGUUCGGAUUUACUGGGCGUAAAGCGCACGUAGGCGGACUUUUAAGUCAGGGGUGAAAUCCCGGGGCUCAACCCCGGAACUGCCUUUGAUACUGGAAGUCUUGAGUAUGGUAGAGGUGAGUGGAAUUCCGAGUGUAGAGGUGAAAUUCGUAGAUAUUCGGAGGAACACCAGUGGCGAAGGCGGCUCACUGGACCAUUACUGACGCUGAGGUGCGAAAGCGUGGGGAG
This 660-nucleotide ribosomal RNA is filed under the name Ochrobactrum sp. RNAcentral's name for it is "bacterial SSU rRNA". It matches the Rfam family "Bacterial small subunit ribosomal RNA", at positions 60 to 768 of the family's 1533-position model. Lineage: Bacteria; Pseudomonadati; Pseudomonadota; Alphaproteobacteria; Hyphomicrobiales; Brucellaceae. The record is from RNAcentral.